UGUCAUUGCCUGCUGACGU
This 19-nucleotide unclassified non-coding RNA is filed under the name Mus musculus (house mouse). Its description in RNAcentral is "oocyte_clustered_small_RNA5423". The record is from RNAcentral. Lineage: Eukaryota; Metazoa; Chordata; Mammalia; Rodentia; Muridae.